GACAGAGGAUGCAAGCGUUAUCCGGAAUGAUUGGGCGUAAAGAGCGUGUAGGCGGCUUGGUAAGUCCGCUGUGAAAGUCCAGGGCUCAACCCUGGAAUGCCGGUGGAAACUGUCAAGCUUGAGUCCGGAAGAGGCGAGUGGAAUUCCUGGUGUAGCGGUGAAAUGCGCAGAUAUCAGGAGGAACACCAAUGGCGAAGGCAGCUCGCUGGGACGGUACUGACGCUGAGACGCGAAAGCGUGGGGAGCAAACAGG
Molecule: ribosomal RNA, 253 nt
Filed under: uncultured bacterium
Lineage: Bacteria
Description: partial 16S ribosomal RNA
Rfam family: Bacterial small subunit ribosomal RNA
Source: RNAcentral